UGUAAAAGAGGGCCUAUGCCCCAUAAAUGGAAUUACAACCCACCGCCUAUCUUCAGCCACCUUUAC
Molecule: transfer RNA, 66 nt
Filed under: Gowidon longirostris (Long-snouted lashtail)
Lineage: Eukaryota; Metazoa; Chordata; Lepidosauria; Squamata; Agamidae
Description: tRNA-Tyr
Source: RNAcentral